Molecule: ribosomal RNA, 252 nt
Filed under: uncultured bacterium
Lineage: Bacteria
Description: partial 16S ribosomal RNA
Rfam family: Bacterial small subunit ribosomal RNA
Source: RNAcentral
UACGAAGGGGGCUAGCGUUGUUCGGAUUUACUGGGCGUAAAGCGCACGUAGGCGGUUUGUUAAGUCAGGGGUGAAAUCCCGGAGCUCAACUCCGGAACUGCCUUUGAUACUGGCAAGCUAGAGUCCGGAAGAGGUAAGUGGAACUCCUAGUGUAGAGGUGGAAUUCGUAGAUAUUAGGAAGAACACCAGUGGCGAAGGCGGCUCACUGGUCCGGUACUGACGCUGAGGUGCGAAGCGUGGGGAGCAAACAGG